AGAAAUUAACAGCUUAUAUAUAUUACGAAACAAAUUAUCAAUAAAUUAUUAACCAUCCCCUCUACCAUCCUUAUUUUCUCCUAUUAUUGUGUCCAAUUUUUCUUCUAUAUGAUUAUUCGACAAUUUACUGUUCUUUAUCGUAUCACCGCGACAUAAAUCAUCAAAAUUUUCUCGAAUAUCACUAUCUGUCACAAUAGUUUUUUCUGCGCAAUAAUCUUUUAAAGCUGGUAAGGCAUUCGAUUGCUUGACUUUCGGAACAUCUUGUAUUUGCGGUACGUCGGUACCAGGAGUUACCUAAAAAAUUAUUUGUACAGGUUCUCGAUUUUCUAGACUGUGUAAUGAAUUACCUUUUCCAUUUUUUCUCUCAUGGCUAAUUCCAAAUCUCAAUAAUGGUCCUAAGCCUAAAUUAAAUGAUGCUCCAGACAGAAAGAAUGGUAUCAUUAUUAUAACAAAACCUAUACAUAUGUACAGCAUACAUUUUAUUAUCCAUCCAUAUGUCCAAGGCAGGUUAUCUAAAAGAUUAAAUGAAAUUAUGAAAUCAACUGAAUUAUUAAGAUGUAACUAUGAAUAAAACUUAUCAAUUACCUGUAGCAUUAUUUAUAAAGCCAGAUAUAACAGUUCCUAUGUGCGUAACUGGAUGAAGAACAACGGUAGUAAUAAAAUGUGAUAAUGCAAAUGCAGGUGUAAUUUUUAGUUUUGGAUUAGACAUUACUGUUUCAUAAUAUUGCUCACAAUCGUCCUUAGCUACAACGAUAGAAAGAUGACAGUAACUUUCCAGAGCAUUUUUCAAUGUACCAAUAUACUUACAAAAGAAUGAAACAAACUUGUGCCACAAAUUCAUCUUAUCGGGUUGACAUGAAAUUGGUAUGUCUGAAAAUUUCAUUUGUGCAGCAACAGACUUAAUUUCGGCUUCCUUAAAAGAACAAACAUAUUUAAGGAAUAAUAUUCUUUUAAAACUGAAAUAAAAUUAUAAGU
Molecule: unclassified non-coding RNA, 975 nt
Filed under: Bombus terrestris (buff-tailed bumblebee)
Lineage: Eukaryota; Metazoa; Arthropoda; Insecta; Hymenoptera; Apidae
Description: misc RNA ENSBTSG00005038536.1
Source: RNAcentral